Molecule: non-coding RNA, 32 nt
Filed under: Mus musculus (house mouse)
Lineage: Eukaryota; Metazoa; Chordata; Mammalia; Rodentia; Muridae
Source: RNAcentral
UAACUGGGAUUCAAGUUCUGCCUCACGAUGGC